CGGUCUUUACCCGCUUGCUUAUACCGUUGAAAACCACGGUACAAUUUAGUCAGGCUGAAAUCCCUCGCUCUCUCCUUCCUCUCCAGACGCACUCUCGGUCUCCAGACGUUCUCUCUUCCUCUCCAGACGCACUCUUGCUCUCUCGUCUGAAUCCCAGAUCCGCCCUCCCUCUGUUCUUGGAAAAUAUUAUUCUUCUUCCCAGAUAUAGCUCCUCGCGAGCAUGUCAGCCUCAGACGUUUGGAUUGCUGUGGCCCGAUCUCAACGACAGAUUGUUCUACAACGACGUCGUUCGAGCCUCCAAUUCCGAACUGACACUGAUCGAGUUCUACUCUAGCAAGUACAAUAAUUCAGCUCCAUUGCAAGGGUAAUCAGCUUAUACCAAAUUGCAUUCCAACAAUUUAAAUUAAUUUGAUUUAUUUACUGAUUUAUUUUUGCACUUUAAGCAAUAAAAAAAUGUUUAAUUUGAAGAACAGAUGAAAACUUUGUACUGAUAAUUGAGCAGUUUCUUCGUGAACCUUUUUUGUUAAAAUUUUUGUUCUCCCCUUUUCUUAUCCGGUUCAGUACCAAACAUAGUAUAAAUAAUACGGUUAUUAGUCUGAUAUUGCACCAAACGCUCGACUAAUUUAGUCAGUACUAUCCGGUGACUAUUUUUUCUAUCCCACAAAAAUAGUCAGUACAGUCCGAGCUACCAAACCUAAAUAUUUUCCCAAACCCCCCUCAGCCUAUAAAUAAGUCACGUUGCGCCUCAAACCCUACGCUUUCAUUUCUCACUGCCUCUGCCGCUCUCGCUUGAACCAAGAGUUCGAGCUUCCAGAUCUGAGAGAUUAAGAAUAUAUAUGCAGAGACGAAGCUAGGAUUUCAAACGUAUACUGGGCUGAGCUGAACUUAUCUUUCGUCCUAACUUUGUUAGCCAAGAUUUCUUUUGUUGAAUAUAGUUAUCGUGUUUCAAAAUUUGAUGAGAGUACUAAUGCUUCAGAAAUUACUAUGCAUUAGAAAUUUACUACAGCCCAUGCAUCAGAAAUUACUAAGAAAUUACAUACCAAAUUCAAAACCUCUCAAAAUGUCUAUCCUUAUUCAUAGUUUCUCCUUCCUUUUUACAAUGUCUUUUUCAAGGAUGUUGUGAGAAAUUGAUGAGCAAGAGAAAGAAUGGUUUAAGUAAGGAGAAAAAAAUGUUCAAUCUCCAGGAAUGAGAAAAUGGGAAGGAAUGAGGAUGAGAAGUGUAGAAGGAGAGAUGACGAAGCAAGAAGCUAAAGAGCCUUACAUUCUUGUUGAGUCAUCCAAGCUGUGGUUGAGAUCUCUAGGCUCAGGUGUUCCGCAAACAUUGAUAGAAGCAAGGAUCUCUUGGACGAUUAUUUUGUCUAUAACAAUGCUUUCCUUAUCUAUAAAAUUAAAUUUGUGUCAGCACAUGCGAUCAGUAAUUGGAUAGAGUAAGUGAGUGAUUUUGGGUUGCUUUAAUUUUAUUACUAUUGUUAUUUGUAGAAGUUAACCGAGUUUUGUUUUUUUUUUUUUUUUUUUUUUUUUCUGUGGCAAGGGUAUGGGGAGGGGAAUGAGUGACCCAUUGGUGGCUCUAGGCCACCCUCUCAUUGAGCUGAUGGUGGGUUUCUAUACACAGAAGGUUACUUCUAAAACCAAAUGGUUAGCUUCAUUGGCUUUCAAAGGAGCACAAAGAGUUACAGUUCUCCCAAUUUUUGCUCGGUCAAUUGAAGGUAUGAGAAGCUUUAUGGUUAAUGGUGCACUGUUUCAUAUAUAUUUGACAAGAAAGGAAGACUUGGAGAAUUUCGUAGUAAUUAAGCACCCAACCACACCAAUAGUUGUCUUUUGAAGUAUCACACGUGUUCUUGAUUACUACGAAAUUCUCCAAGUCUUUUUUUUCUUGUCAAAUAUAUGAAACAGUCUACCAUUAACCAUAAAGCUUCUCAUACCUUCAAUUGACCAAGCAAAAAUUGGGAGAACUGUGACUCUUUGUGCUCAUUUGAAAGCCAGCUACCCAUUUGGUUUUAAAAGUACCCUUUUGUGUAUAGAAAUCCCCCAUCAGCUCAAUGAGAGGGUGGUCUAUAGCCACCAAUGGGUCACUUAUUCCCUUCCCCAUGCCCUUGCCACAAAAAAAAAAAAAAAAAAAAAGAACAAACCUCGGUUAACUUCUACAAAUACCAAUAGUAAUGAAAUUAAAGCAACUCAAAAUCACUCACUUACUCUGCCCAAUUCCUGAUUGCAUGUGCUGGCACAGAUUUAAUUUUAUAGAUAAGGAACAUGCUCUGUUCUUGCAAUUUUGUGAGCAUGGUAUGCCCAAUGUAGGUUGAGGAUAUUUGAUUAAACAAACAAUUCAAUCUCAUGCUUAAAUGUCGAACCAAUAGCACCCUUCUUGCACAAGCGUCCAAUAGUGCUACUGUUAGAAGGGCAGUAAAUGCCACAGUGAAAUUGACAUUAUCUUUAACCAUCAGUUCCAAAACGCCACUUGCGGCUUUAGACCCAUAACCAUUUAUAAUGAUGGGUUGAAAUGAGUUGUGUUCACAUUGGUGGCAAGUUAGAUGGAAAGUAAUGAUGUUGUGUUGAAACGGUUGGAAUCCAUUUGGUUCAGCAGGGCACACUCGUGUUUAAUUAGUUGCUAAUAUCUAAUUAUACUUUGCUAGUGUGUAAUAAGCUGUUAAAAGGAAACGGUUGAGGGAUUAGCACUCAUUGUCGUUGGGCUUGACUUGUAUUCAUAUAUGGAAGGAUGAUGAUUUCCCCUCACCAAAUACUUGUGAUGACUCGUAGAUAAUCCUAGUACAUGGAAUAUUAUUAAGGCUAAAAUUACUUUCUAAUGCAAUGCAUCGACUUCCUCGUGCAUGAUUUUUAUCACUAUAAUUCAUGUAUGUAACUGCUACUUUGUCUGCAUCAGAAUUGUUGCCUUAGAAUUUGUGUAAUUGCCUCAAUACUUUACAGACUGGCAAAAAGCUUCAGGUGUGCCUACCAUACGAGCCUUGGCAUUCCCUUCACCCUCCCCCCCCGGGGACAUGAGUUUUCUUAUUCCUAGUUCUCUUAUGUUUCCUAAUUUUAGUUGCUUAUACAUGUUUCCCAUAUAUACCAAGCUUUUUGGCUUUGUCAUUCUUGUCGUCUCCCAUUGUUUUUAUUUGUAUUCGACAUCAAAAUAGAACUGCAAUGUGAAAACAGAUAGUGAGGCAGAAGAACAAGCAAAGGUUCCAGAUUGUUACCGACCUGUGUUUGAUAGAAUUCAAAGAAGAUACUCUUCAGCGUCUACUUAUGAUGUGCCCAAAGAUAGCGAGGCAGAAGAACAGGCAAAGGUUCCAUAUUGUUACCGAUCUUUGCUUGAUAUAGUUCAAAGAAGAUACUCUUCAGCGUCUACUUAUGAUGUGCCCAAAGAUAGCAAGGCAGAAGAACAACCAAAGGUUCAAGACUCUCGCCAAGUUGUGGUUGAUGAAAUUCAAAAAGGAUCGUGUUCACCGUUGACUCAUUAUGAGUGUCGCCCUGCGGACAACUUCGCGCAUUGGCUGGCUAUAGUGGAAGAAUUCAAUGAACGAAAGGCUGCUGGCUCUGGGACUAAACUCACACCUGAAGAAGAAGCAAAACUUAGAUAUGGUCCUUGUGAAUGUUGUGGAAAGGAGAAAGACCACGCGACUAAAAACUGCCCUCUGAAGACUAUUAGGUUUUAAUAGAUAGAAUGCAGUGGAGACAAAUGCAUUUGUAAUUUCUAAGUUAUGUCAGUCUUUUAGAACAAGAAGCCUUAUUAUUAAAUAAGGCCUAAAACCUAUCACUGUUUCAUAUAAUGCACUAUUAGGUUCAUAUGCUUCACAUGGGAUGAGCAAAGAGGCGUAUCAGCUUUUUUUUAGGUUUUAAUAGAUAGAAUGCAGUGGAGACAAAUGCAUUUGUAAUUUCUAAGUUAUGUCAGUCUUUUAGAACAAGAAGCCUUAUUAUUACAUAAGGCCUAAAACCUAUCACUGUUUCAUAUAAUGCACUAUUAGGUUCAUAUGCUUCACAUGGGAUGAGCAAAGAGGCGUAUCAGCUUUUUUUUUGUUCGGUCCAGGUACCAGGCAGUGUCCCCACACCCGUAGGAUGGGACUAAUCUACGCUCGAGGUGUGGCUUGCCUCUGGCCACAAAGUGUUUUCAGUGAGUUUCAAACCCCUGCCAGUUAGGCACCAAGGAAUCCGCCCACUGAUGAUUUGAUUUGCCAAUCGCGCCACACCUUGUGGUUAAAGGCGUAUCAGUUUUUAAUGAGAUUAAGAAAAGUAGUUUCCGGCCUGAUGUUUUGUCUUAUACAUCCCUACUCAAUGCUUUUGUAUCAAUAUGCACGCUUUUAGCAGCUUGAUCACUGAUACAGCAUUACCUUACAUAAGAUGGAACCGUGCAUUUCAAACAUUUCCCAAACAUUAAUGUUUGAUGAAUAACUUUUCUUGGCAUCA
Molecule: non-coding RNA, 4398 nt
Organism: Malus domestica (apple)
Lineage: Eukaryota; Viridiplantae; Streptophyta; Magnoliopsida; Rosales; Rosaceae
Source: RefSeq, a predicted model, not a curated record